RNAcentral lists this ribosomal RNA (492 nucleotides) under uncultured bacterium. Its description in RNAcentral is "partial 16S ribosomal RNA". It matches the Rfam family "Bacterial small subunit ribosomal RNA", at positions 29 to 507 of the family's 1533-position model. The record is from RNAcentral.
AGUGAACGCUGGCGGUAGGCCUAACACAUGCAAGUCGAACGGCAGCACAGUAAGAGCUUGCUCUUACGGGUGGCGAGUGGCGGACGGGUGAGGAAUACAUCGGAAUCUACUUUUUCAUGGGGGAUAACGUAGGGAAACUUACGCUAAUACCGCAUACGACCUACGGGUGAAAGCAGGGGAUCUUCGGACCUUGCGCGAUUGAAUGAGCCGAUGUCGGAUUAGCUAGUUGGCGGGGUAAAGGCCCACCAAGGCGACGAUCCGUAGCUGGUCUGAGAGGAUGAUCAGGCACACUGGAACUGAGACACGGUCCAGACUCCUACGGGAGGCAGCAGUGGGGAAUAUUGGACAAUGGGCGCAAGCCUGAUCCAGCCAUACCGCGUGGGUGAAGAAGGCCUUCGGGUUGUAAAGCCCUUUUGUUGGGAAAGAAAAGCAGCAGGUUAAUACCCCGCUGUUCUGACGGUACCCAAAGAAUAAGCACCGGCUAACUUCGUG